CGGAUAGAGCCGGCGAAGUCGCUCGUAUUCAGCCAAAGGCUCGGGGCUUCCCUGGCGUUGAGUUGCUAACCACUCUCAGCGUUGGUGUGUUGUCCUUGGGUUGAGGUGCAUUUACGGGCGUUUGCGCUGAGACUUGCGAGGCAGCUGCUGGACCCGUGUUCUAGAGGCUUCCCUCUGGGUUGAACCUGGUCGCGGCUGACGGUUGUUUGCCUUGCUCGUACGGGGCCUGGCCUACGGACCGGGGUGGUGGUGUCGGUGUUGCGCGGUGGUAUCGCAUGCGAUGCCUAGCGUAGUGCUUGCGCUGCUGCUUCGUGUUCCCAGGCCCACUCUCGGUGUAGAAGCCGGUCAUCUCUCCGACCCGUCUUGAAACACGGACCAAGGAGUUUAGCGUAUGCGCGAGUCAUUGGGUGCUGAAAACCCAUAGGCGCAAUGAAAGUAAAGACCCAGUCGCUGGGUUGACAUGUGAGUGUGGGUGGCUUCGGCCCUUGCACGCAGCAUGGUCCCAUUGUGAUCGCUUGCGAUGCAGUGGAGACAGAGCGUAUGCGCUGAG
RNAcentral lists this ribosomal RNA (550 nucleotides) under Mesocriconema sphaerocephalum. Its description in RNAcentral is "eukaryotic LSU rRNA". It matches the Rfam family "Eukaryotic large subunit ribosomal RNA", at positions 420 to 813 of the family's 3401-position model. Lineage: Eukaryota; Metazoa; Nematoda; Chromadorea; Rhabditida; Criconematidae. The record is from RNAcentral.